Molecule: long non-coding RNA, 2468 nt
Filed under: Brassica napus (rape)
Lineage: Eukaryota; Viridiplantae; Streptophyta; Magnoliopsida; Brassicales; Brassicaceae
Description: long non-coding RNA (BNAP_LNC007074)
Source: RNAcentral
GCAAAUCAACGAAACCAUCCUCUUCAACGACACCAAGCUAGAUCUAGAAAUCGAGUACACUAAGAUCCAAUGCCAAACAGACUGAUCACUGAUUAUCGAUAAUCACAAUUCUAAAAAUGGAUUUGUAGCUCAAACAAUGUUGAGAACAAAGCAUAUACCUCCGGAGACGAAGAGAGGCUGAGAAUUGUGAAAAUGAACACCACGAACAGGUCCUUCGUGCUCGUCGAAUCGAUCGAUCAGAGUACCCAUACGGUAAUCCCAGAGCUGGAUCACGCCACUGUGCAAACUGGCGAGGAUCCAUGGCCGUUUGGGGUGGAAGGUGAGGCCCUUGACUCUGUUACUCUUCGUCUCGAACUUCGUCAACAUGAUAUUUUUUUUCCAGAUCACGAAACGGAAACAGCUCUACACAAACCAGAUCAGAGAGAACGAAAGGAGAAACGAGUCAUUUUCAUAAAAUUGAAAUCGCAAACGGAUCUGGAACGCACCAGAUAGUGAGAUAGAGAUUCACCUCGGAUCGGAUCGGAUCGGAUCGGAUCAGGUCAAGGAGAGCUUCACGGUGAGGAGCAGUAGCAUUACCAGAGAGGCGUGGAUGCGAGAGGAAGAGAAACACACGAGGAUGCAAAUCGAUGGAGAAGGAGAAGAAAGUGAUCCAGUUUCUCGUCGAGUAGAUCUCGCUUCUUAAUUGGAAAGGAAUUUAAUUUUAAUUUAUUUAUGUUUUUUUUAUUCCAAGAAAAUAAAAUAUUAAAUGGGCCUAAUAUCAUUAAAAUAAAUUGGAUAUUUAUCAUAUGGGCCCUUGUUGGAUCAGGCCCAGCUCUAGAUACUUGGGACAUAAUUUGUCUCUUGUUGUCGUAAUCAGGUGGCGAAACGUAUCCCUCUGCUUCUCUCUCCUCCGUCGUCGACCUCUGAUUCCGGUGUUCUCCGUGAGCUCUCUUUUGAACCACAUUGUGUGUGAUAGUCCAACCACAUUUUCACUUGUAGUCAAAAUCGUUGGGGUCGCAAAAGGAUUGGUUUUGAUAUGUGGACUCUCUUUUGAAGUUCCUUGGAUCAAAAAAGGUUGUUUUGAUACUAAAUAAUUUAUAAAGUUUUUUUUUUUUUUUGAAAAGAUAUAGGCUUCCGGAAAAAUACCAUUCAUACGCCAGAGCUUUACUUGGCGGUCAUCUGCACCAGAGACAAUGAGAGGAAGCGUGGGAUGAAACGAAGCCCAGUUUACUCCUCUAUCAUGACCUUCGAGGACGUACUUAACUAUAGCGUCAACACCACCAAAAAGAUCAGAGUUCAUCUGAGUAAACCGCAUGAGAUCAUCAGCAGGAGAUACACUCUUCUUCUUAAGAGAACCAAUAUCCCAGACACGGACAGUCUGAUCCAAAGAUGCCGACACGACAAGGUCUUCCUUAGGAUGGAAAGAAGCACACAUAACGUAAUGAUUGUGGCCGGUCAACACAGAGAUACAAGUCCGCGACUGCCAGUUCCAAAUGCGGAUGGUCUGAUCGUCACUAGCACUCACAAUCCACGGGUUCUCGUGGUGAAACUGGACAGUGCGGAUGUAAUCGAGAUGGCCGAGGAGAGUGAAUAGGCACCUGUGCGUUUUGUGGUUCCAAACUUUAAUCUUGUAAUCGUCUCCUGCAAAAACACAAUAUGUCAAUGAGUAACGUUCUGAAAGAGUAUAACGAAGACAAUUGCAUUUACAAGUAAUAUAGAUCUGAUUUCAGCUGACUCAGUCCAAUGAUCCAAAAGAGCAUAUGUUAUACAACAAAUUAAACUUAGUAUAAGCAUUUAUCAAUACGACUACAUUGGUUGGGGGCAAAUCAACGAAACCAUCCUCUUCAACGACACCAAGCUAGAUCUAGAAAUCGAGUACACUAAGAUCCAAUGCCAAACAGACUGAUCACUGAUUAUCGAUAAUCACAAUUCUAAAAAUGGAUUUGUAGCUCAAACAAUGUUGAGAACAAAGCAUAUACCUCCGGAGACGAAGAGAGGCUGAGAAUUGUGAAAAUGAACACCACGAACAGGUCCUUCGUGCUCGUCGAAUCGAUCGAUCAGAGUACCCAUACGGUAAUCCCAGAGCUGGAUCACGCCACUGUGCAAACUGGCGAGGAUCCAUGGCCGUUUGGGGUGGAAGGUGAGGCCCUUGACUCUGUUACUCUUCGUCUCGAACUUCGUCAACAUGAUAUUUUUUUUCCAGAUCACGAAACGGAAACAGCUCUACACAAACCAGAUCAGAGAGAACGAAAGGAGAAACGAGUCAUUUUCAUAAAAUUGAAAUCGCAAACGGAUCUGGAACGCACCAGAUAGUGAGAUAGAGAUUCACCUCGGAUCGGAUCGGAUCGGAUCGGAUCAGGUCAAGGAGAGCUUCACGGUGAGGAGCAGUAGCAUUACCAGAGAGGCGUGGAUGCGAGAGGAAGAGAAACACACGAGGAUGCAAAUCGAUGGAGAAGGAGAAGAAAGUGAUCCAGUUUCUCGUCGAGUAG